This 465-nucleotide ribosomal RNA is filed under the name uncultured bacterium. Its description in RNAcentral is "partial 16S ribosomal RNA". It matches the Rfam family "Bacterial small subunit ribosomal RNA", at positions 338 to 795 of the family's 1533-position model. The record is from RNAcentral.
CCUACGGGAGGCAGCAGUAGGGAAUCUUCCACAAUGGGCGAAAGCCUGAUGGAGCAACGCCGCGUGGGUGAAGAAGGUCUUCGGAUCGUAAAACCCUGUUGUUAGAGAAGAAAGUGCGUGAGAGUAACUGUUCACGUUUCGACGGUAUCUAACCAGAAAGCCACGGCUAACUACGUGCCAGCAGCCGCGGUAAUACGUAGGGGGCAAGCGUUAUCCGGAUUUAUUGGGCGUAAAGGGAACGCAGGCGGUCUUUUAAGUCUGAUGUGAAAGCCUUCGGCUUAACCGGAGUAGUGCAUUGGAAACUGGGAGACUGGAGUGCAGAAGAGGAGAGUGGAACUCCAUGUGUAGCGGUGAAAUGCGUAGAUAUAUGGAAGAACACCAGUGGCGAAAGCGGCUCUCUGGUCUGUAACUGACGCUGAGGUUCGAAAGCGUGGGUAGCAAACAGGAUUAGAUACCCCAGUAGUC